GAUGAACGCUAGCUACAGGCUUAACACAUGCAAGUCGCGGGGCAGCAUGAAUUUAGCUUGCUAAAUUCGAUGGCGACCGGCGCACGGGUGAGUAACGCGUAUCCAACCUGCCCAUCUCCACGGGAUAGCCCGUCGAAAGGCGGAUUAAUACCGUAUGAGGUCACGAGACGGCAUCAGACCGUGACGAAAGGUUUUGCGGAGAUGGAUGGGGAUGCGUCCGAUUAGCUGGUUGGC
This 234-nucleotide ribosomal RNA is filed under the name uncultured bacterium. Its description in RNAcentral is "partial 16S ribosomal RNA". It matches the Rfam family "Bacterial small subunit ribosomal RNA", at positions 28 to 253 of the family's 1533-position model. The record is from RNAcentral.